Molecule: small RNA, 2737 nt
Filed under: Pan troglodytes (chimpanzee)
Lineage: Eukaryota; Metazoa; Chordata; Mammalia; Primates; Hominidae
Description: retained intron
Source: RNAcentral
AUUCCACUUCCGGUGUCUUGGUCUUAUCACUGUAACUUGAGCUGAGACUUUACUUCCAUGUCUCCCCCCACCCUCCAGAGUCCUCAGGGUUUCCACGAAAGCCCCCUUUCAUUGAGCCUACAAGCCUUGCUGGGAGGCACAGGCAGCGUCCACCCCAUGAUGUCCUCCCGCCGGCAUCCCGCAGCCUUCGCCUUCCUGGUUCACCUGUCGCUUACCUGUCUCGCUCUCUCACCUCUGCUGGUCAGCAGAUCUGAAUAUCUCUUUGUGAGGAGUCAGAGAAAGGAGAUGAUGCAAAGAGAAGGAAGCAAAAACAAAACUAAAAGAACUUUGAAGGUAUAUGAGAAGAAAAAGCUGAAAAGAAAAUGUCUGCCUCACUCCCUCAAAAAUUCUACCAUAGAGCAAAGGUUGACAUCCAGAAAACCUCAAGUUUAUCAGUCCCAGAUGCUGGCAGUAGAAGCAUAAAGCUGAGGUGAAUUUUCCUUACUAUUUUUUUCCCCAGAGUCUAGAACAGUAACUGCCUCCCAAUGUCUAUCACAGGGACCAGAUUUUCUCCACUACAUAGGAGGUGAUAUGUAGGCAGUUAAAUGGCAUUAUAGACACAAUAAGCAAAAUUGAAACAGAGACACCCUGUUGGAUAAAAUAUUUACAUCGGUGUCCUGUUUCCAAACUGUGGGCUGAGACCUAUAAAUGAGUCAUGAAAUCAACCUUUGCGGGUUGCAACCAGCAUUUUCACAAGAAGGGAUUAAGAAACAACUUCAGAAUGUAUCUUGUGUAGUAACAGUGACUACUGUUUUGCAAAAUGUUUGGGUCAGUUGUACACAUGCAUAUUUUACAGGGUGAUGUAAAAAUAAAAUGUUUUUUUUGAGACAGGGUCUCACUCUGUCUCCCAGGCUGAAGUGCAGUGGCUCCAUCACGGCUCACUGCAGCCUCAACCUCCUGGGCUCAAGCAAUCUUCCUGCCUCAGCCUCCUGUAUAUCUGGGACUACAGGUGUGCACCAUCAUGCCCAGCUAUUUAUUUCAUUUUUUUGUAGAGCCAGGGCCUCACUUUGUUACCCAGACUGGUCUCGAACUCCUGGGAUCAAGCAAUCCUCCCACAUCAGCCUCCCAAGGUGCUGGGAUAACAGGCGUGGGCCACCGUGCCUGGCCUGAAAUGUCUUUUUAACUGUAGGCUGGGGUCCGCAACGUUUGAGAAGCACUGAAAUACAGGGCAAUUUAUUCACUGUCCAAGAACAUUACUUCUAUGAUGUCUUCAGAUAAAUUUGAAAAUAUUUGUCUUACCCAAAAUUCCAGUUACAUAUCCAUUUUCAGGAUACUCUCUUCUGGGUGAGAUAAACUCAAUGCUGGCAGGUAUAGCAAGAAAACAAAAGACUCUGCCAAAUAUUGCUGCAGGGUGAGAACCACCAGCACAAUGUGGAAAUCCAGUGUAGGUAAAGAUUCGCCCCAAACGUGUGAUCAGGAAAUAAAACCUGUUAGGUGUCAAUGUCAUGAAGUUCAGUGUCCAAAUGUUGUCUUUCUUCUGGUAAUGGUUACUUUUUUUUUUUUUUUUUUUGAGAUAAGGUUUAGCUUUUGUCACUCAGGCUGGAGUGCAAUGGUGCGAUCUUGGCUCACUGCAACCUCCAUCUCCCGGGUUCAAGCGAUUCUCCUGCCUCAGCCUCCCGAGUAGUUGGGAUUACAGGCACCCGCCACCACGUCCAGCUAAUUUUUGUAUUUUUAGUAGAGAUGGGGUUUCACUAUGUUGGCCAGGCUGGUCUGGAACUCCUGACCUCAGGUGAUCCACCUGCCUCGGCCUUCCAAAGUGCUGGGAUUAUAGGGGUGAGCCACCGCACCUGGGGUGGUUACUGUUUAAAAAAAAAGUCACCUGACUCAGACCCACUGAGCACUUGGAGAACAUCUACAGGUAGAAAACAAAUGUUACAAAUAUUUAAAUAUCCUGAUGGUUUUGGAAGUCAAGGGGAGAGAGAUCUUACCUCUGUCUACCACCCGACCCUCUCCACCAAGGUCACUAUAAAUACAAAGAGCAUAGCUUGGGCUACAGGAAAGAAGGCAUUCAUAUGUAUAAAUGUGUGUGUAUAUAUACACUGUUUUUUCUUUUUUAAGAGACUGGGUCUCCCUCUGUCACCCAGGCUGGAGCGCAGUGGUACGAUCAUAGCUCACUGCAGCCUCCAAAGGUGGGGCUGAAGUGAUCCUCCUACCUCAACCUCCCUAGUAGCUGGGAUUAAAGAUACACACCACCACAUGGCUAAGAAGGCAUUCUAGCCCUGAGUGGUGGUGACACAGGUUAUAUACUUGAAGUAUACACACACACAUAUAUAUGUAUACACCCAUAUGUAAAUAUAACACAAAAAACUAUGUAUUUCACUCUAUGUAUAUAUAUUUACCAUUUUAACCGUUUUUAAGUGUACAACUCAAUGGCAUUAAAUACAUUGUUGUGCAACCAACAUCACCAUCCGUCUCCAGGACUUUUUUGGCAUCCCAAACGGAAACUCCAUAGCCAUUAAACAACAAUUUCUCAUUUCCCCUUCCCUCCAGCCAUGGGCAACCACCAUGCUACUUUCUGACUCUAUGAAUUUCACUACUCUGGCUACCUCAUAUAAGUGGAACUGUACUGUACUGGUCCUUUUAUGUCUGACUUAUUUCACUUAGCAUAAUGUUUUUGAAGGUUCGUCUAUGUUGUAGUGUGUGUCAGAAUUUGCUUCCUUUUUUAGGCUGAAAAAUAAACGAUUCACAGUAUAUUUUU